Molecule: ribosomal RNA, 266 nt
Filed under: uncultured Thermovirga sp.
Lineage: Bacteria; Thermotogati; Synergistota; Synergistia; Synergistales; Thermovirgaceae
Description: partial 16S ribosomal RNA
Rfam family: Bacterial small subunit ribosomal RNA
Source: RNAcentral
AUCGGUACGGCCGGGCACUCUAGAUGGACUGCCGGCGACAAGCCGGAGGAAGGUGGGGAUGACGUCAAGUCAUCAUGGCCCUUAUGUCCAGGGCGACACACGUGCUACAAUGGCCGGCACAGCGGGAAGCGAAUGGGCGACCAUGAGCGGAUCCCCAUAAAAGCCGGUCCCAGUUCGGAUUGCAGUCUGCAACUCGACUGCAUGAAGUUGGAAUCGCUAGUAAUCGUGGAAUCAGCCAAGCCGCGGUGAAUACGUUCCCGGGCCUU